GGCCUACGGGGGGCAGCAGUGGGGAAUAUUGCACAAUGGGGGAAACCCUGAUGCAGCGACGCCGCGUGAGUGAAGAAGUAUUUCGGUAUGUAAAGCUCUAUCAGCAGGGAAGAAAAAAGACGGUACCUGACUAAGAAGCCCCGGCUAACUACGUGCCAGCAGCCGCGGUAAUACGUAGGGGGCAAGCGUUAUCCGGAAUCACUGGGUGUAAAGGGAGCGUAGACGGCUGAGCAAGCCUGAAGUGAAAGGCAGGGGCCCAACCCCGGGACUGCUUUG
Molecule: ribosomal RNA, 276 nt
Filed under: uncultured bacterium
Lineage: Bacteria
Description: partial 16S ribosomal RNA
Rfam family: Bacterial small subunit ribosomal RNA
Source: RNAcentral